This 319-nucleotide ribosomal RNA is filed under the name uncultured eukaryote. RNAcentral's name for it is "partial 18S ribosomal RNA". It matches the Rfam family "Eukaryotic small subunit ribosomal RNA", at positions 1470 to 1796 of the family's 1831-position model. The record is from RNAcentral.
CCAUUAGAUGUUCUGGGCAGCACGCGCGCUACAAUGGUCUUCGCAAACGGAUGCAUUCUCGAAGGAGAAUGCCAAUCUUGGAAUCUAUGCCUUGGUCGGGACAGUUGCUUGCAAUUUUUCGACUCGAACCAGGAAUUCCUUGUAAUCGUGAUUCAUCACAUCACGAUGAAUACGUCCCUGCCCUUUGUACACACCGCCCGUCGCUCCUACCGAUCGAAGAGUUAGGUGAAUUGUUUUGAUCGAUAAGAUUUGACUAUGGUCAACUCUCGUUGUGAAAUUCUGUGAAUCUGACUGUUUAGAGGAAGGAAAAGUCGUAACA